AUGUUCCAGUUUAGGUUUUCGAUAGUGCUGAAGGAGUUGUUUGAAGCCACCCUCAAGCGUCCCUUCCCCGGCUCGAGACAGAAGACCUGGUCCCCGACCCGCCGCCGCUGCUGCUUCGGCACCGCCUCCGUUGACGCCAGAACCGUCUCCCCUCAGCUGAAGGUCCUCCAUGCCGCGUCGUACCGCGCCGCGCCCUGCGCCGCCCCGUUCCGCUCGUACUGCACAAAAACCGAAGGGGCCGUGGAGCUGGACGAGCAGCUGAAGAAGGAUGUUGUCAGCCCGGAUGAAGCCAGUGAAAAGAGAAGAACUGCAGGCAUUCUCCCCAGUUUGGAGGACUUGCUCUUCUACACAGUCGCAGAAGGCCAAGAGAAGAUUCCUGCUCAUAAGUUUCUCACAGCGCUUAAAGCCACCGGGCUUCGCACUGGAGACCCCAGACUGAAGGAAUGCAUGGACACCCUUAAAGAAACUCUAAGGAACACCAAAGAUGGCGUCACGCUGGACAGGCACCUAUUCAAGAAGUGUGUCCAGAGCAACAUUGUCCUGCUCACUCAGGCCUUCCGCAAGAAGUUCGUCAUCCCCGACUUCCAGUCCUUCACCUCCCAUAUUGAUGAGCUGUAUGAGAGUGCCAAAAAGCUCUCUGGAGGACAGGUUGCAGACUACAUUCCUCAGCUCGCCAAAUUCAGCCCUGACCUGUGGGCCGUGUCUCUGUGCACUGUGGACGGACAGAGGCACACAGUAGGAGACACCAAGGUCCCCUUCUGUCUGCAGUCCUGCGUCAAGCCUCUGAAGUACGCUGUGGCUGUCCAUGACCACAGCACGGAGUAUGUGCACAGCUUCAUUGGGAUGGAGCCCAGCGGCCUUCGCUUCAAUAAGCUCUUCCUGAGUGACGAUGAUAAGCCCCACAACCCCAUGGUGAAUGCUGGCGCUAUAGUUUGCACUUCACUGAUAAAGCAAGGGGCAAGCAACGCAGAAAGAUUUGAUUAUGUCAUGAACUUUCUGAAAAAAAUGGCUGGAAACGAGUACGUGGGUUUCAGCAACGCCACAUUCCAGUCGGAGCGUGAGUCAGGUGACAGGAACUUUGCUAUCGGCUACUACCUGAAAGAAAAGAAGUGUUUUCCAGAGGGGACAGACAUGACAUCUGUACUGGACUUCUACUUUCAACUGUGUUCGAUCGAGGUGACCUGCGAGAGCGCCAGCGUCAUGGCGGCCACCCUGGCUAACGGCGGCAUCUGUCCAAUCACGGGUGAGCGUGUGCUGAACCCCGAGGCGGUGAGGAACACCCUGAGUCUGAUGCACUCCUGCGGCAUGUACGACUUCUCAGGACAGUUCGCUUUCCACGUCGGUCUGCCCGCCAAGUCUGGAGUAGCGGGGGGGAUCCUGCUGGUCGUACCCAACGUGAUGGGCAUCAUGUGCUGGUCCCCUCCGCUGGACAAGCUGGGCAACUCGGUCAGAGGAAUACAGUUCUGCACGGACCUCGUGGAGCGUUUCAACUUCCACAACUACGACAACCUGAGGCACUUCGCCAAGAAGCACGACCCCCGCAGAGAAGGAGGGGACCAGCGGGUCAAGUCUGUCAUCAACCUGCUGUUUGCUGCCUACACAGGAGACGUGUCUGCGCUGAGGAGGUUUGCGCUGUCCUCCAUGGACAUGGAGCAGAGGGACUACGACUCCAGGACGGCCCUCCAUGUGGCAGCAGCUGAAGGACACACAGAGGUGGUGCGCUUCCUGCUGGAGGCCUGCAAGGUGAACCCAGUACCCAGAGACAGAUGGGGGAACACGCCGAUAGAGGAAGCGGUGCACUUCGGCCACCACGACGUGGUCACCGUGCUGCAGCAACACGCCGAGAAACAGAGCCGGGCGGCCGGGGCCGACGACAAGGAGAGUGCUGAGAAGAGCGUGGACAGCCUGCUGUAGACCUGCUGCACACAGACUACAUGCUUUAGGUGGACCAGUGUGCUCGAACAACUCUAAACAGUAGUGACCAAACCUUUGGAUAUGUGGGGUGAUUUAGUUAUUACGCUGCGUCCCGUCUGGUAUGCUUUGCUUUGUGGCUGCACGUCACUCUUCUACUUCAUAUCUCCCGCCUUGUCAAUGCUGUUUAAACAAAUGAUACAAUAUCUGGACAUCUAUGAUGCAAUACUUACAGUAUAUUACUCAUGUCACGUGUCUGUCAGAGGUGGGGGGGGGGGGGGCUCUAGUGGCCCGACAAACUCGAGGACCAGAGACUUGCUUGACUCGCACUGAUAAACGACUCGACUUGAGAUGGCUGACUCGAAAGGA
This is an RNA transcript of Etheostoma cragini (Arkansas darter), 2280 nucleotides long. It is a transcript of the gene named glutaminase b, with no coding region annotated. Lineage: Eukaryota; Metazoa; Chordata; Actinopteri; Perciformes; Percidae. The record is from RefSeq and is a predicted model, not a curated record. The transcript is spliced from 19 exons.